CAGCAGCCGCGGUAAUACAGAGGAUCCAAGCGUUAUCCGGAUUUAUUGGGUUUAAAGGGUGCGUAGGUGGGAUGAUAAGUCAGUGGUGAAAUCCUACAGCUUAACUGUAGAACUGCCAUUGAAACUAUUGUUCUUGAAUACAAAUGAAGUGGGCGGAAUAUGUCAUGUAGCGGUGAAAUGCUUAAAUAUGACAUAGAACACCAAUUGCGAAGGCAGCUCACUAAGUUGUUACUGACACUGAGGCACGAAAGCAUGGGGAGCAAACAGGAUUAGAUACCCUGGUAGUCCAUGCCGUAAACGAUGAUUACUGGAUGUUGGCGAUAUACGCUCAGUGUCCAAGCGAAAGUGUUAAGUAAUCCACCUGGGGAGUACGCUCGCAAGAUUGAAACUCAAAGGAAUUGACGGGGGCCCGCACAAGCGGAGGAACAUGUGGUUCAAUUCGAUGAUACGCGAGGAACCUUACCUAGGCUUAAAUGAUGAGUGACCGAUAGGGAAACUUAUCUUCCCUUCGGGACUCUUUUAAAGGUGCUGCAUGGUUGUCGUCAGCUCGUGCCGUGAGGUGUCGGGUUAAGUUCCAUAACGAGCGCAACCCUUAUCUUUAGUUGCCAGCGGGUAAUGCCGGGGACUCUAAAGAAACUGCCUACGCAAGUAGUGAGGAAGGUGAGGAUGACGUCAAGUCAGCACGGCCCUUAUGUCCAGGGCUACACACGUGCUACAAUGGUCGGUACAGA
RNAcentral lists this ribosomal RNA (731 nucleotides) under uncultured bacterium TAYNAYA-17. RNAcentral's name for it is "bacterial SSU rRNA". It matches the Rfam family "Bacterial small subunit ribosomal RNA", at positions 509 to 1243 of the family's 1533-position model. Lineage: Bacteria; Pseudomonadati; Bacteroidota. The record is from RNAcentral.